GCGAUUUUGGUUAAAAUAUUCAAAAUGGCGGACGGAGGAGCAGCGAGUCAAGAUGAGAGUUCAGCAGCAGUUUGAUUGUUAAGUGUGUGCUUGGAAAAGACUUAACCUUCCGUCCCUGGACACCAUCAUAUGCUAUGCUUUUGGCCUGUCUUUCCGCUGCUGCUCUGUCUAGAUCAGGGAUUCUUAACCAGUGUGUCCUGACACCCUAGUGUCACAGCACCCAUCGAAGUGUGUCACAGAUGCAAGAAUGAACAAUCCGUCAGAAAACAGCAAAUCAUCGGAGAGUGGGGAUGGAAACACAGGCACACAAACAAAUGGUCUGGACUUUCAGAAGCAGCCAAUACCCGUUGGACCGGCCAUUACAUCAGCCCAAGCACAGGCCUUACUUGGACACCUCCAUCAGGUCCAGCUCGCUGGAACAAGUUUACAUGCUGCUGCACAGUCCUUAAAUGUACAGGUAAGAGUGUUUAAAACAUGCUUCCUUCCACUGUCAAUGUGUUCCUAGCUGCAUGUGUAAUCUUGUCA
RNA transcript from Bombina bombina (fire-bellied toad), 525 nucleotides. It is a transcript of the gene named POU domain, class 2, transcription factor 1, with no coding region annotated. The transcript has 5 exons. The record is from RefSeq and is a predicted model, not a curated record. Lineage: Eukaryota; Metazoa; Chordata; Amphibia; Anura; Bombinatoridae.